Molecule: non-coding RNA, 585 nt
Filed under: Trichomonas vaginalis G3
Lineage: Eukaryota; Parabasalia; Trichomonadida; Trichomonadidae
Description: Eukaryotic small subunit ribosomal RNA
Rfam family: Eukaryotic small subunit ribosomal RNA
Source: Rfam by way of RNAcentral
UGAUCAACACGGGGAAACUUACCAGGACCAGAUGUUUUUUAUGACUGACAGGCUUCGGGUCUUUCAGGAUAUUGUUUUUGGUGGUGCAUGGCCGUUGGUGGUGCGUGGGUUGACCUGUCUAGCGUUGAUUCAGCUAACGAGCGAGAUUAUCGCCAAUUAUUUACUUUGCCGAAGUCCUUCGGUUAAAGUUCUAAUUGGGACUCCCUGCGAUUUUAGCAGGUGGAAGAGGGUAGCAAUAACAGGUCCGUGAUGCCCUUUAGAUGCUCUGGGCUGCACGCGUGCUACAAUGUUAGGAUCAAUAGGACUGCGAGCCUGAGAGGGUGCGCUACUCUUAUAAUCCCUAACGUAGUUGGGAUUGACGUUUGUAAUCAGCGUCAUGAACCAGGAAUCCCUUGUAAAUGUGUGUCAACAACGCACGUUGAAUACGUCCCUGCCCUUUGUACACACCGCCCGUCGCUCCUACCGAUUGGAUGACUCGGUGAAAUCACCGGAUGCUUACGAGCAGAAAGUGAUUAAAUCACGUUAUCUAGAGGAAGGAGAAGUCGUAACAAGGUAACGGUAGGUGAACCUGCCGUUGGAUCAGUU